UGAGCACCACUCGCAGCAGGGAAGAGCAAGAGCUACUCAUUCACCAGCACCUCAGCAAAAACGAUUACCCUCAUUCUCUCAUCAACCGACUCCUUCAUCAACCACCUCGUACAGACAACCCGGAGAAACCAACAAUCUACCGAUCAAUCCCAUAUGUCCAUGGUCUCAGCUCUAGCAUCAAGAGAAUACUCCACAAGAGCAACACACAAAUAGGAAUCUCCCACAGCUACAAAAACACAGUAGGGCAUCUUUAUAAGAAUGCAAAGGAUCCGGUAUCUGAUCUCAGCAAAUGUCAUAUACCGGAUCGACUGACGGGAUUGUCCAAGCACAUAUAUUGGGAUGACAACAAAUAAGCUGAGGAAUCGAAUGUACGGACAUCAAACACACGUCAACACACUGGAGAGAAAGUUAUUGGAAGGCCAUCAGUACACAGAUCCGGAAAUACUACAGCUUCAAGAAAAAUCUGCGCUAAUCCACCACUGCAUCCAGCACCAACACCGAUUCAAUAUUGGCAACCCCUCCAUCGUCGAUAUAACACAUAGGAAACAAGCUCUGCAAGUGUUGGAGAUGUGUCACAUCUCGACAACCUCCAACACGGUCAACCAUCGGACUGAUACCGACAAUCUAAGCUGUGCGUACGCACAUCUCCUCGCUUCGAUCAAAGAUCAGAGAGCAGAGAGAAUUGCGUCGUCAACAAACCGAAAUAAUCGACGAGAAACAGAUGAUCAAACAGCUGACCCAACUACCUAACCCACACUAACAAAUCCUACCACCCAAAUUACACCAAAGAUACACACCCCACAGUAAAAUCCGAACGGCGAUUGAUAACAGCCGCAGUGUUGUGUUCCGCUGAUUUCUUGUCUCGAGUGUCUCCCUUUCGUACCACCCACCCAACAUCCCACUAGGGUGCUGGUGAUGAACGAGAAAAGUGCAGUGUCUUUUAGAAUCCGACAAACGAACGUGUGCAAAAUACGAUUAUCACAAGUUGAUUAAGAUCGAGUGAGUAGGAGAUAGAACUAACAAAUUUCAACAAUAACUAAUAGAUACUUUCGAAUAAAUAACAGGCCCUGAGGAAGAUCCCAACCCAAGGAUCGAAACGUUGGCAAUGAUAUAGAAGUA
Long non-coding RNA from Aedes albopictus (Asian tiger mosquito), 1119 nucleotides. RefSeq lists it as uncharacterized. The record is from RefSeq and is a predicted model, not a curated record. NCBI's taxonomy places the organism in Eukaryota, Metazoa, Arthropoda, Insecta, Diptera, Culicidae. The transcript is spliced from 2 exons.